AGCGGCGGACGGGUGAGUAACGCGUGGGUAACCGUGCCUCAUACAGGGGGAUAACAGUUGGAAACGGCUGCUAAUACCGCAUAAGCGCACAGUACCGCAUGGUACGGUGUGAAAAACUCCGGUGGUAUGAGAUGGACCCGCGUCUGAUUAGGUAGUUGGUGGGGUAACGGGCCUACCAAGCCGACGAUCAGUAGCCGACCUGAGAGGGUGACCGGCCACAUUGGGACUGAGACACGGCCCAA
RNAcentral lists this ribosomal RNA (242 nucleotides) under uncultured bacterium. RNAcentral describes it as "partial 16S ribosomal RNA". It matches the Rfam family "Bacterial small subunit ribosomal RNA", at positions 94 to 334 of the family's 1533-position model. The record is from RNAcentral.